GAUGCAGUGUACCCGCGGCAAGACGGAAAGACCCCGUGAACCUUUACUAUAGCUUGACACUGAACAUUGAGCCUUGAUGUGUAGGAUAGGUGGGAGGCUUUGAAGCGUGGACGCCAGUCUGCGUGGAGCCAACCUUGAAAUACCACCCUUUAAUGUUUGAUGUUCUAACGUUGGCCCCUGACCGGGGUUGCGGACAGUGUCUGGUGGGUAGUUUGACUGGGGCGGUCUCCUCCCAAAGCGUAACGGAGGAGCACGAAGGUUAGCUAAUCCUGGUCGGACAUCAGGAGGUUAGUGCAAUGGCAUAAGCUAGCUUGACUGCGAGCGUGACGGCGCGAGCAGGUGCGAAAGCAGGUCAUAGUGAUCCGGUGGUUCUGAAUGGAAGGGCCAUCGCUCAACGGAUAAAAGGUACUCCGGGGAUAACAGGCUGAUACCGCCCAAGAGUUCAUAUCGACGGCGGUGUUUGGCACCUCGAUGUCGGCUCAUCACAUCCUGGGGCUGAAGUAGGUCCCAAGGGUAUGGCUGUUCGCCAUUUAAAGUGGUACGCGAGCUGGGUUUAGAACGUCGUGAGACAGUUCGGUCCCUAUCUGCCGUGGGCGCUGGAGAAUUGAGGGGGGCUGCUCCUAGUACGAGAGGACCGGAGUGGACGCAUCACUGGUGUUCGGGUUGUCAUGCCAAUGGCACUGCCCGGUAGCUAAAUGCGGAAGAGAUAAGUGCUGAAAGCAUCUAAGCACGAAACUUGCCCCGAGAUGAGUUCUCCCUGAGACUU
This 766-nucleotide ribosomal RNA is filed under the name Klebsiella pneumoniae. RNAcentral describes it as "partial 23S ribosomal RNA". It matches the Rfam family "Bacterial large subunit ribosomal RNA", at positions 2058 to 2823 of the family's 2925-position model. Lineage: Bacteria; Pseudomonadati; Pseudomonadota; Gammaproteobacteria; Enterobacterales; Enterobacteriaceae. The record is from RNAcentral.